ACAAGAUAAGAUCCAGUUUCCUUACAUACCAGAAGUCGGCCUAAAUAGUGCCCAAUUCUCUGCAUACCAUGCCCAGAGUGGUGAAGUGUUUGAUCCUCCAAAUCUCUAAGGAUGGAAAAGCAAACUGAGAGCAACCUCAUCUGCUCUUGAGAAAGAGAAAGAAAAGACAGGAACUAGUCCAACAGUUGAACUGCACUGAAUAGUUUAAUGCUACCCUUUUAACAGCUGGAAAUUUUUCAUGGAAUGGUUCCAACCACUCCUCAACUUGGGAAAAAAUCAUUCAGGGACCUUCUGCCUUACAAGCAAUUCAUAACCCCUGGCAAAGUUGAAUCUAAAAAAUAUACAACGUGCCUAUGAGUCAUCCUUAAAAUACUUUUCUUCAAUAAGCUUCUGUAAUGGGGAAAAAUUAUCAUUCCACACAAGCUUCUGAGACUUGUUACCACUUUGCAGAUUGAAUAACCCUUGGAGACAAGGCAAUCUACCGGCUAGACAGCCUGGAAACAGCUUCCAGACCAAUCAGCUGCUGGGAAACAGUUUUUGGCCCAAUCACCCACCUGGAAACUGUACAUGGACCACUCGCUGUCUUCUAAGAACCACUUCUCCUAAAAUCUGCCACUGCUGCCUUGCAAACCAAACCAGAGAGAGAAAAUAUACCUGAAUUAUUUCUACACUGACCUUGUGAGUCCCAGCCCAUCUGUGCCCUUUUGACAAGUGCUUCGAACUCCAUGCCCCUCAGUGGAAUUCAUUCUGUAUUGAAUAAUUUUUUGGCCAAGCCCUAUCCUUUGUGGAAAGAGGUGAUUGCCAACCUUAGCUGCACAUUGGAAUCACCUGGGGAAUAUUAAAAAUCUUGAUGCCCAGGCUUCACCCUGGACCAAUUAAAUCAGAAUUUCUGUCAUCAGUCUUUAUUAAAGUUCCAUAGAUUAUUCUAGUGUGUGUCAGGGAGCAAGAAUGUCCUGCCCCCUUCAAGGUCUUUGUAGCUGGACUAAGAAUCAAAUUGACACGAGACAGAUUAACAGGAGAAAAUAAAAUUUAAUAGCAUUCCUAGGGGGAAUCCACUCAGACAUGGAAAUAAGGUAUAUAUGUCAUUCUGAAUUAAGGAGAAGGGAGUAGAAGUCUGGGAUUUCAAAAGGAAAAAAUGCAAUUCACAGGAAAAUGAAAAGGAGUGCAUGUUUGGUAAACAAAUGUUUGCUGGGCCACUCAAAAACAAGGAGACACAGAGGACUUUGAUCAAACAGGCCUUGCUGGAUUCCUCCCUGUCUACCAUAUCUAGUUCCUAGUGUAAUGUAGUUCUUUAUGGUGAUAGCUCUCUUCUUGGAGCAGAUCCUCUAUCUAAAUGCUUUUUAGGCAGUUGAGGGGGGAGGUAAAGAACUUUUCCUAAACCUGUUGGAUUUCGAUUGCUUUUUAACUCAAAAUAAUCUUCAUGCCAUAAUGGCCUACGCUUGGGGCAGCCUACCUUUGGCCUCUACCUAUGCAUCUUAAGUUGAAAACAACUGCCUAACUAGAUCUUAAGAACUUGCCAAAGGCAAACGAUUUCUUGCAUUUUGCAUUAUCUCACCCUGCCCUGCCUAGACAGUUUUUCUGCCCAGCCCUGGCAAUCAGUUGAUAGUAAACACACAGGGAGUUUCAGCAAGGUGCCUGGGAUCUGGGGUAAGAUCAGGACUACGUCACCCUCUGAGCUCAGUAAGGGAAUAUGGAAUAGUUGUAAGAGCUUGUUAUUGUGGACUCGGGUCUGUGUUUGAGGUUUAUCUCUAUCACUGUCUAACUCUCUGUCCUAAACUAAGUUAAAUGUAAAAUGGGGAAAUAAAAGUAUCUGUUUGAGAGGAUGUCAUGAAGAUCACAUUAGAUAGUAAUAAGUAAAGCACUUAGCCUGGCCCUGGGUACUUGCUCCAUAAAUAGCCAACUAAGAAUAAACACAAAAUUGUUGAGAUGACCCACUUGCAAAAGUAAUCCUUCCUAAGAGAUGAUUUGUAACAUUAGCAGGGCUUAGGAAGUAACCUGCAGUGACAGUGUUCAAAGUGUAUCCUCAGGCCUGUUAUUUAACUCAACAGAAAUGUAAUCGAAUCAACCCUCCUGUAACUUGAACAUUUCAAGUAACAUUAUAGUAAUGGAAGUGUCCUUGCCUGCACAGUCGAUAAAAAGAAGAAGGGGCACCUGGAUGGCUCAGUGGGUUAAGAGUCCAACUUCAGCUCAGGUCAUGAUCUCACAGUUGGUGAGUUUGAGCCCCGCAUCGGGCUCUGUGCUGACAGCUCAGAGCCUAGAGCCUCUCUUUCUGCUCCUGUGCCGCUUGCGCUCUGUGGUGGGACCAUUUUUAUUCAAGCUUUUGGGAGACUCUCUUGGAUUAUUGGAAUGAUAAGAAAGAAACUGCACUGCUAGUUCAGCUGCAACUUGACUCUUUAGAAUCAAUAGCCAUUUUGGAUUCAGGAAAUCCUUGGAGAAUAUCAAACCUUACCCUAUUACAAAGCCUCCUGGAUCUGGGAGUUAGAACUAUACAUAUAGCAGCCUGGUCUUUUGUCCUUGAGAAACCUCCUCUCAAAACCCAGCACAUAGUAGGAAAAACUUUUCAAAAUCUAGUUACAUUUACAUUUUAGUUUGUUAGGGCAAGAACUUCUGUUUUUAAUUAACCUCUGCUGGUCUCCAUCUGCAUACAGGACACACAGUGAACUUGAUUCUUCCAGUAUCUACAAGAAGCCUUAGGAAUAAAUCAAUUAUAGAUCUAUUAACUCUGUUAGCUCUUUCAAGUUAUACAGCUGCUGGCUCAUGACAUUUCACUUUGCACCUGCCUCUCCAUCCCCAGCUAGGCAUCUUACCAAUAUGUAUCGCUGGUCAUAAAUGAAAAUAGAAAUUUCUUCUGCUAUGGAUAUAAAGGGAGGGACUAAAUCCGCUCUAAAAAAUAGUCUUUUUUAUAUUCCCCAGAAAAUAAACUAUUAUUUAAUGAUUCCAACUAUUUUCUAAAUGAUGCCUUCAUAUCCUCAAUGUAAUUGCAACCCUUUAAUAAGCUUUAUUUAAUAAAUAAUACUCCUGAGGCUUGAGAGAACUCAUAUAGGAGUUAACACGCAUAAUUUAUUGCCCAGGGUAUGGAUAAUAUAGACUCUCAAAAUUGUAAUUUGUCAUCAGUAUAUACUAUGAGUAUAACAUACAGUGACAAUUUUUUCUUUUUUAAAAACUUUUUUAAUGUUUAUUUAUUUUUGAGAGAGAGAGACAGAGACAGAGAUGGAGCACAAGUAGGGGAGGGGCAAAGAGAGAGGAAGACAUAGAAUCUGAAACAGGCUCAGCUCUGAGCUGUCAGCACAGAGCCCAAUGUGGGGCUCAAACUCACAAACCUGUGAGAUCAUGACCUGAGCCAAAAUCAGACACAAAACCAACUGAGCCACCCAGGAGCCCCUGACAAUUUUUUCACAUACAUUCCUAGUUGUUUCAUAUACAUCCCUAGUUGUUCCAGUCACAUUUGUUGACAUGACUGUCAUUUUCCCCAUUGAGUUUCCCUAGCACCUUUGUUGAAAAUCAGUUAAUUGUAUAUGUGUGAGUCUAUUUCUGGAUUCUAUUGUGUUCCAUUGAUCUAUUUACACCAAUAUUACACUGUCUUGAUGACUGUAGAGCUUCUUAGUAAUCUUGAAAUCAGGUAGUAAAGUCUUUCGACAUUGUCCUUUUUCAAGAUCAUUUUAGCUGUUCUGUAUCCUUUGCAAUUUCACAUAAACUUUACUACCAGCUUGUAAAUUUCUUUUAAAAUGAUCCUGCUUGAAUUUUGACUGGAUGGCUGUAACUCUAUAGAUCAAUUUACAGAGGGUAGGCAUAAUACAACUAUGGAGGCUUCCAAUUCAUGAACAAUUAACCACUCCAUUUAUUUAGACAUU
Molecule: long non-coding RNA, 3851 nt
Organism: Neofelis nebulosa (Clouded leopard)
Lineage: Eukaryota; Metazoa; Chordata; Mammalia; Carnivora; Felidae
Exons: 3
Source: RefSeq, a predicted model, not a curated record